AGCAGCCGCGGUAAUUCCAGCUCCAAUGGCGUAUAUUAAAGUUGCUGCAGUUAAAAAGCUCGUAGUUGAAUUUCGGGACCAUCAUGUCGGUCGUGCCUCGGUACGUACUGGCAUUGUUGGUUUCUCCCUUCUGACGAACCAUGAUGUCAUUUAUUUGGUGUUGUGGGGAAUCAGGACUGUUACUUUGAAAAAAUUAGAGUGUUUAAAGCAGGCUCACGCUUGAAUACAUUAGCAUGGAAUAAUGAAAUAGGACGUUUGAUUCUAUUUUGUUGGUUUCUAGGAUCGACGUAAUGAUUAAUAGGGAUAGUUGGGGGCAUUAGUAUUCAAUUGUCAGAGGUGAAAUUCUUGGAUUUAUUGAAGACUAACUACUGCGAAAGCAUUUGCCAAGGAUGUUUUCAUUAAUCAAGAACGAAAGUUAGGGGAUCGAAGACGAUCAGAUACCGUCGUAGU
RNAcentral lists this ribosomal RNA (450 nucleotides) under uncultured Glomeromycotina. RNAcentral describes it as "SSU rRNA". It matches the Rfam family "Eukaryotic small subunit ribosomal RNA", at positions 569 to 1024 of the family's 1831-position model. The record is from RNAcentral. Lineage: Eukaryota; Fungi; Glomeromycota.